CUCAGUAGCGGCGAGUGAAGCGGCAACAGCUCAAAUUUGAAAUCUGGCUCUUUUAGGAUACGAGUUGUAAUUUGUAGAAGAUGCUUUGGGUGUAGCUCCGCUCUAAGUUCCUUGGAACAGGACGUCAUAGAGGGUGAGAAUGUCGUAUGCGACUGGGUGCUUUCGCUCGUGUAAAGCUCUUUCGACGAGUCGAGUUGUUUGGGAAUGCAGCUCAAAAUGGGUGGUAAAUUUCAUCUAAAGCUAAAUAUUGACCAGAGACCGAUAGCGCACAAGUAGAGUGAUCGAAAGAUGAAAAGCACUUUGGAAAGAGAGUUAAACAGUACGUGAAAUUGUUGAAAGGGAAGCGCUUGCAACCAGACUUGCGCGCUGUUGAUCAUCCGAGCUUCUGCCCGGUGCACUCGAUAGCGUUCAGGCCAGCAUCGGUUUUGGUGGGCGGAUAAAGGCCUUGGGAAUGUAACUUCUUUCGGGGAGUGUUAUAGCCCUCGGUCAAUCCGCCCUGCCGGGACCGAGGUCCGCGCUUCGGCUAGGAUGCUGGCGUAAUGGUUGUAAGCGACC
RNAcentral lists this ribosomal RNA (555 nucleotides) under uncultured fungus. RNAcentral's name for it is "eukaryotic LSU rRNA". It matches the Rfam family "Eukaryotic large subunit ribosomal RNA", at positions 79 to 649 of the family's 3401-position model. The record is from RNAcentral. Lineage: Eukaryota; Fungi.